This 253-nucleotide ribosomal RNA is filed under the name uncultured bacterium. Its description in RNAcentral is "partial 16S ribosomal RNA". It matches the Rfam family "Bacterial small subunit ribosomal RNA", at positions 524 to 776 of the family's 1533-position model. The record is from RNAcentral.
UACGUAGGGUGCAAGCGUUGUCCGGAAUUAUUGGGCGUAAAGAGCUCGUAGGCGGUUUGUCGCGUCGGCUGUGAAAACUCGGGGCUCAACCCCGAGCCUGCAGUCGAUACGGGCAGACUAGAGUGCUGUAGGGGAGACUGGAAUUCCUGGUGUAGCGGUGAAAUGCGCAGAUAUCAGGAGGAACACCGGUGGCGAAGGCGGGUCUCUGGGCAACAACUGACGCUGAGGAGCGAAAGCGUGGGGAGCGAACAGG